AUUCCAGCUCCAAUAGCGUAUAUUUAAGUUGUUGCGGUUAAAAAGCUCGUAGUUGGAUUUCGGGCGUGGAGGUUCGGUCCGCCGUUUCGGUGUGCACUGUCUUUCUGCGUCUUUCUGUCGGGGACGCGCUUCUGGCCUUAAUUGGCUGGGACGUGGAUUCGACGAGGUUACUUUGAAAAAAUUAGAGUGUUCAAAGCAAGCUAAAGCUCUGAAUACAUUAGCAUGGAAUAACGCGAGAGGACUCGGUCCUUAUUUUGUUGGUCUUCAAGGAUGGAGUACUGAUUAAGAGGGACAGUUGGGGGCAUUCGUAUUUCAUUGCUAGAGGUGAAAUUCUUGGAUUUAUGAAAGACGAACUUCUGCGAAAGCAUUUGCCAAGGAUGUUUUCAUUA
This 389-nucleotide ribosomal RNA is filed under the name Pycnococcaceae sp. Its description in RNAcentral is "partial small subunit ribosomal RNA". It matches the Rfam family "Eukaryotic small subunit ribosomal RNA", at positions 582 to 975 of the family's 1831-position model. The record is from RNAcentral. Lineage: Eukaryota; Viridiplantae; Chlorophyta; Pseudoscourfieldiophyceae; Pseudoscourfieldiales; Pycnococcaceae.